CAGCAGGACGGUGGUCAUGGA
RNAcentral lists this non-coding RNA (21 nucleotides) under Arabidopsis thaliana (thale cress). The record is from RNAcentral. RNAcentral also lists the same sequence under 1 other name. Lineage: Eukaryota; Viridiplantae; Streptophyta; Magnoliopsida; Brassicales; Brassicaceae.